GCUUAUGGCCAUAUCAGCCUGGGUAUGCCUGAUCUCGGAAGCUAAGCAGGGUCGGGCCUGGUUAGUACUUGGAUGGGAGACCGCCUGGGAAUACCAGGUGCUGUAAGCA
RNAcentral lists this ribosomal RNA (109 nucleotides) under Salmo salar (Atlantic salmon). Lineage: Eukaryota; Metazoa; Chordata; Actinopteri; Salmoniformes; Salmonidae. The record is from RNAcentral.